RNAcentral lists this ribosomal RNA (377 nucleotides) under uncultured Gammaproteobacteria bacterium. RNAcentral describes it as "bacterial SSU rRNA". It matches the Rfam family "Bacterial small subunit ribosomal RNA", at positions 521 to 896 of the family's 1533-position model. Lineage: Bacteria; Pseudomonadati; Pseudomonadota; Gammaproteobacteria. The record is from RNAcentral.
UAAUACUUAGGGUGCGAGCGUUAAUCGGAAUUACUGGGCGUAAAGCGAGUGUAGGCGGCUGCGUAAGUCGGAUGUGAAAGCCCUGGGCUUAACCUGGGAAUUGCAUUCGAAACUGCGUAGCUAGAGUUUGGUAGAGGUAAGUGGAAUUCAGGGUGCAGCGGUGAAAUGCGUAGAUAUCCUGAGGAACAUCAGUGGCGAAGGCGGCUUACUGGACCAAAACUGACGCUGAGGCUCGAAAGCGUGGGGAGCAAACAGGAUUAGAUACCCUGGUAGUCCACGCCCUAAACGAUGUCAACUAGACGUUGGGUUCAUUAAGGAACUUAGUGUCGUAGCUAACGCGUUAAGUUGACCGCCUGGGGAGUACGGCCGCAAGGUUG